Molecule: ribosomal RNA, 517 nt
Filed under: Polyspilota aeruginosa
Lineage: Eukaryota; Metazoa; Arthropoda; Insecta; Mantodea; Mantidae
Description: partial 16S ribosomal RNA
Rfam family: Bacterial large subunit ribosomal RNA
Source: RNAcentral
GGUUUCUUGAAAUUGUUUAAGAGAUCUAACCUGCCCACUGAAGAUAAUUUUGAAGGGCCGCAGUAUUUUGACUGUGCAAAGGUAGCAUAAUCAUUAGUCUUUUAAUUGAAGGCUGGUAUGAAUGGUUGGAUGAGGUGAAUUCUGUUUUAUGUUAAUUGAAAUUGAAUUUAGAUUUUAAGUAAAAAGACUUAAAUAAUAUUAAGGGACGAGAAGACCCUAUAGAGUUUAAUAUAUGUAAUAAUUAAUUGAGUUAGGAAGCUUAAUUUUUGAUUUUUAUGAAGUUUAUUUAAUUGGGGUGAUUAGAAGAUAAAAUUAACUCUUUUUUGUAUUUAAUAGUAUAAUUAGUUUUAUGAUCCAUAUUUGAUGAUUAAAAGAUUAAAUUACCUUAGGGAUAACAGCAUAAUUCUUUUUGAGAGUUCAUAUUGAAAAAAGAGAUUGUGACCUCGAUGUUGGAUUAAGAUUAGUUAUGGGUGCAGAUGUUCAUUAACUAGGUCUGUUCGACCUUGAAAAUCUUACA